RNAcentral lists this long non-coding RNA (425 nucleotides) under Lactuca sativa (garden lettuce). Its description in RNAcentral is "long non-coding RNA (LSAT_LNC000099)". Lineage: Eukaryota; Viridiplantae; Streptophyta; Magnoliopsida; Asterales; Asteraceae. The record is from RNAcentral.
AAGAACCUGAAAAACAUAAAACCACAACUGUAAGCCCGAAAGCUUAGUGAGAUAUCCCCAAAAUACCAACCACAUAUACCAUACACGCAUAACAUCCCAUAACAUAUCCGAUCACAGAACAGCCAUGCACUUUGGGUCUACUGUGUGACUGGUCUGCCGCACCGGCCAACAGUCCACCUGGUCCACCCUCCGAGUCUAGCCAUAUACCUCGAGUCUGCAGUGUGAUUGGUCCACCCGCACCGGGCCUUCAAUCCACCUGGUCCACUCUCCGAAUCUAGUCACAUACAUCGAGUCUGCAAUGUGAUUGGUCCGCCCGCACCGGGCCUUCAAUCCACCUGGUCCACUCUCUGAGUCUACAGUAUGACUGGUCCGCCCGCACCGGGCCUUCAGUCGGCCUGGUCCACUCUCCGAGCCUCGGCACGUCU